AGCGGGUCAUGCCCGGAACUCACGAGGGACCGCCGGGGUUACUCGGAGGAAGGUGGGGAUGACGUCAGAUCAUCAUGCCCCUUACGUCCAGGGCUUCACGCAUGCUACAAUGGCCGGUACAACGGGAUGCGACAUGGCGACAUGGAGCGGAUCCCUGAAAACCGGUCUCAGUUCGGAUUGGAGUCUGCAACCCGACUCCAUGAAGGCGGAGUCGCUAGUAAUCGCGAAUCAGCAACGUCGCGGUGAAUGCGUUCCCGGGCCUUGUACACACCGCCCGUCAAGUCAUGAAAGUGGGUAGCACCCGAAGCCGGUGGCCUAACUCGCAAGAGGGGGAGCCGUCUAAGGUGAGACUCGUGAUUGGGACUAAGUCGUAACAAGGUAGCCGUACCGGAAGGUGCGGCUGGAUCACCUCCUUUCUACGGAGAAUUCAGGCCGCUGUCUAGCGGCCGGUGUCGUCCAUCGUCUGGCCGGUUGGUCCGGCUGGUGGUGGACUGCUGGUGUGGAAUGCGGUCGUUGGCUUUGUGGUAUGGGACGCGCUUUUGGGCUCCCGGACCGCCACCCCCGUCCCUCGUGGAUGGGUGGGGUUCGUGCCGGCCCGUGGCCGUGGCCUCCUGGUGGGGUCGUGGUUCGUGGGUCGUGCGUGGUGGUUUGAGAACUGGAUAGUGGACGCGAGCAAGUAUUUUUGUACUUGCUUUUGUAGUUUCGAAUGCAUGGCCCCCGUGUGGGGUCGUGCGGAUCGUUUUGUGAUCAUUUGUGUGAUGAUUUGUCGUCUGGGAGUUCAGAUGUCGAUGGGUCCUUGCGGUUGGCGUGCGCGUUGGCGUGUGUUUGCUUGCAAGGGCGUAUGGU
Molecule: small RNA, 846 nt
Filed under: Bifidobacterium minimum
Lineage: Bacteria; Bacillati; Actinomycetota; Actinomycetes; Bifidobacteriales; Bifidobacteriaceae
Description: bacterial SSU rRNA
Rfam family: Bacterial small subunit ribosomal RNA (bases 1-416)
Source: RNAcentral